AACCCUCGACCUUAGUUGCCAGCAUUCAGUUGGGCACUCUAAGGUGACUGCCGGCUAAAAGUCGGAGGAAGGUGGGAUGACGUCAAAUCAUCAUGCCCCUUAUGACCUGGGCUACACACGUGCUACAAUGGGCGGUACAAAGGGUCACGAACCCGCGAGGGGGAGCCAAUCCCAAAAAGCCGCUCUCAGUUCGGAUUGCAGGCUGCAACUCGCCUGCAUGAAGCCGGAAUCGCUAGUAAUCGCGGAUCCAGCAUGCCGGCGGUGAAUACGUUCCCGGGCCUU
Molecule: ribosomal RNA, 282 nt
Filed under: uncultured Anoxybacillus sp.
Lineage: Bacteria; Bacillati; Bacillota; Bacilli; Caryophanales; Anoxybacillaceae
Description: partial 16S ribosomal RNA
Rfam family: Bacterial small subunit ribosomal RNA
Source: RNAcentral